This is a long non-coding RNA of Hippoglossus stenolepis (Pacific halibut), 769 nucleotides long. RefSeq lists it as uncharacterized. Lineage: Eukaryota; Metazoa; Chordata; Actinopteri; Pleuronectiformes; Pleuronectidae. The record is from RefSeq and is a predicted model, not a curated record. The transcript is spliced from 13 exons.
GAGAUCUACUCUCAAAAACAGAACCAGUCAGUCGAGUUGCCUUCCUGCCGAAUAUGCGCAUUUCAUUUCAGUAAAUCCGUGAGGGCGGGUAGUUAAGGGCUGUUUUCUAUGUUUGAGAAAAGGGCAAAAGGGCAAAAGCAGCUCAGUCUCAUUCUCCGGCUCUCUCUCUGUGCAACAGACUCGUCAGCGACAUCGACUCAAAAUGAAGGUGAACAGCACGUGGCUCAAACGGGUGUUUCCAGGCGUUUGGACUCAUCAAAUGCAUCCCUGGUUGGAGUAUGAUGCAGAGGUGUGAAGAAGCUGGGGAUGAUGAGGUGUGAUCACACUGACUGAAUUCACUCUUCGUUCACGACAUUCAAUAAGAUGGUCUCGUGUUUGUGCAUCUGGUCUGAACGCUCUAGUAUGAGCUACUGAAACCUCUCUGGCUACAGAAUGCUAUGACAUGUGACUUCUCCGCCGACUAAACUUCCAGCCUUGUUGAUCUAAUGGGAUCUUGGGCAGUUGGGUGCAGAAGAUGUCACACAAACAAUGUUCUGAUCGCUCUCUGAGAUCCGACUGAACGGCCAAGACGAGGUUGACUGAGGAAAAGGCUGCAUCUCUUGGGCUGACCUUGAAAGCAGAUGUAAUGUCCUCUGGCCCUCAGACAGCCUGAUGUUUUACUCUAAAGAUUCUGUGGUAUUAUGGCGACCGGAGUUUGACCUGCAGACAAUUUAAUAUCUCUUGGCAAAUGUGUUUUCAACAUUGUUGCAAUAAAAUACUCAAAACGAAA